RNAcentral lists this long non-coding RNA (207 nucleotides) under Mytilus galloprovincialis (Mediterranean mussel). Lineage: Eukaryota; Metazoa; Mollusca; Bivalvia; Mytilida; Mytilidae. The record is from RNAcentral.
AUGGAGCGGACACGAUCUUCACCACAGGACACAGGAUUGUCAACUCGAAACCAAAGUUUUUGACCUUGACCUUUGACCUAGGAAGUUGUACAUACAAUUGACACACCCUCUGGUGGUUGUUAAAAUGAAUGUCAAGUAUAAACUUUGAAAUCAUAAUGGUUAUCUAGAUAUGGAGCGGACACGAUCUUCACCACAGGACACGGGGUU